CUAGGAUAUUUGUGGCAAUGGGAGGGAUAAAGGGAAUUCUAGACUAUAAUCUUUUAUACACAUUUAUCUCUUCUCCAUCCCAGACUCAUCAAAAUCUCAUUUGCCCUGUUGUUCUGCUGUAAAUAUAAGGCUUUAGAACAGAGGUUGCUCUCCCCCUGGGAUUACAGCAGAAAGUCUCAAGCAACCCAGAUGUCCUGAAUUCUGGGGACUGCACCUGUUCGCUCUCUCGCUCCCAAAUUGGAAAGUCCCUGGUUUAUUGCGUCCAUGAUGAUUGGCUUUUGCUGCAGAACCUCCCCACCUACAUCCUCACGGCAACCCAUCUGCAUGGCCACCCACAUCAAAGUGACUUGUGUAAGGUGACACAGCUAGUAAGUAUCUGAGGCCAACCUUGAACUCAGGAAAAGGAGUUUUCCUGAAUGCAAGCCUACCUCUCUAUCCAUUGGACCAUUUAGCUUCCCGAAACACAAAAGGAAAAGGCCCUAUCCAGAAAAUAAUCCAGAAAUAACAUGUUUGUCACUGGAAUUCAUAAAUAUUUAUAUAUUAAAAACUAAUACAGAGUGUUGGAGGAAGGGAAUUCACUAGCAAUUGGGAUAUCAGGAAAGGAUUUACAUAGAAGGUGGCAAUGGAGAUGACUCUGAAAGGGUUCUGAGAAAAGGGGCCAAGGAGAGAAUCGAUUCCUAGGCAUUGGCGUCCACACUGAGAUGGCCUGGAAACUCACCACUCCUGUGGAAAGCUGGACUUUCAGAAGUUCUCACCAACUGGACGUGGACUUCUCUUCUCAUCAUCUCUCAGGUCAAGAGGCUCUUGACUAAGGGAGAAAUGGUUGAGGGUGAGGAUGAACAGAAAAUUCCUUUAUAAGAGGACAAGCUUUAUCACCUUCCAGGGACCAAGAUUUGGUCUAUGAUGAAUUCUCUCUGGAUUUCUUUCUGAAAGAUCAUCUGACUCCUCCUGCACUUUUUGUUUUUAUAUCAUAUUUUUAAAAUACCCUAGGGUAUACCCUCAAUCUUUAACAGGUCCCACACUGGUGCUGACAUGGAUGCCUGAGGAGUUAGAGUCUGGGUUAAUUGCUUUUGCUAAAACAUUCAUUGCCUAGUCUUCUUAUGGAGCAGAUAAUAUUUAAAAGGGGGGCAGGUAGGUGGUGCAGUAGAUAGAGAGCCAGACCAAGAUAUGGGAGGUCCUGGGUUCAAAUCUGACCUCAGCCACUUCCUUACUGUGUGACACUGAACAAGUCAUUUAACCCCCAUUGCUAACCCUUAUCACUCUUCUA
Molecule: long non-coding RNA, 1267 nt
Organism: Monodelphis domestica (gray short-tailed opossum)
Lineage: Eukaryota; Metazoa; Chordata; Mammalia; Didelphimorphia; Didelphidae
Source: Ensembl